UAGGGAAUCUUCCACAAUGGACGCAAGUCUGAUGGAGCAACGCCGCGUGAGUGAAGAAGGUUUUCGGAUCGUAAAGCUCUGUUGUUGGUGAAGAAGGAUAGAGGCAGUAACUGGUCUUUAUUUGACGGUAAUCAACCAGAAAGUCACGGCUAACUACGUGCCAGCAGCCGCGGUAAUACGUAGGAGGCAAGCGUUGUCCGGAUUUAUUGGGAGUAAAGCGAGCGCAGGCGGAAUGAUAAGUCUGAUGUGAAAGCCCACGGCUCAACCGUGGAACUGCAUCGGAAACUGUCAUUCUUGAGUGCAGAAGAGGAGAGUGGAAUUCCAUGUGUAGCGGUGGAAUGCGUAGAUAUAUGGAAGAACACCAGUGGCGAAGGCGGCUCUCUGGUCUGCAACUGACGCUGAGGCUCGAAAGCGUGGGUAGCGAACAGG
Molecule: ribosomal RNA, 429 nt
Filed under: bacterium
Lineage: Bacteria
Description: partial 16S ribosomal RNA
Rfam family: Bacterial small subunit ribosomal RNA
Source: RNAcentral